Molecule: ribosomal RNA, 275 nt
Filed under: uncultured eukaryote
Lineage: Eukaryota
Description: partial 18S ribosomal RNA
Rfam family: Eukaryotic small subunit ribosomal RNA
Source: RNAcentral
AUAGCGUAUAUUAAAGUUGUUGCAGUUAAAAAGCUCGUAGUUGGAUUUCAAGGGAAGCAACGUGGAAACACGUGAGCCCCCUACCAGUCUCAGACUGUUACUGUGAGAAAAUUAGAGUGUUUCAAGCAGGCUGUUGCAGGAAUACAUUAGCAUGGAAUAACGAAUGGGUCUAGAAUCUUGGUUAAUUCUAGAUUACGAUUAAUAGGGACAGUUGGGGGCAUUAGUAUUUAAUUGUCAGAGGUGAAAUUCUUGGAUUUAUUAAAGACUAACGUAUG